UACGUAGGGUGCGAGCGUUGUCCGGAAUUAUUGGGCGUAAAGAGCUCGUAGGCGGCCUGUCGCGUCGGAUGUGAAAGCCCGGGGCUUAACCCCGGGUCUGCAUUCGAUACGGGCAGGCUAGAGUGUGGUAGGGGAGAUCGGAAUUCCUGGUGUAGCGGUGAAAUGCGCAAAUAUCAGGAGGAACACCGGUGGCGAAGGCGGAUCUCUGGGCCAUUACUGACGCUGAGGAGCGAAAGCGUGGGGAGCGAACAGG
This 253-nucleotide ribosomal RNA is filed under the name uncultured bacterium. RNAcentral describes it as "partial 16S ribosomal RNA". It matches the Rfam family "Bacterial small subunit ribosomal RNA", at positions 524 to 776 of the family's 1533-position model. The record is from RNAcentral.